AUGGCAGAGAUUGUAAUUCUUCUAGCCAUUAAAAAGAUCGGAAUCGCCUUGGCAAGUAGAAGGGCAAACCAAGCCAAAGUUCAGUUUGGAAAGUACAAAGCACAACUACAAGAGCUACAUGGCAGUGUGGGUCGUGUUGCGAGGGAGCUUCGCAUAAUGCAUGAUGUGCUCUGUCACAUGGAUAUUCGAAACCGCAACAAUCAAGUAUAUGACGGCUGGUUGGAGGAGGUAUAG
RNAcentral lists this ribosomal RNA (234 nucleotides) under Triticum aestivum (bread wheat). Its description in RNAcentral is "partial small subunit ribosomal RNA". The record is from RNAcentral. Lineage: Eukaryota; Viridiplantae; Streptophyta; Magnoliopsida; Poales; Poaceae.